AUUGAACGCUGGCGGAAUGCUUUACACAUGCAAGUCGAACGGCAGCACGGACUUCGGUCUGGUGGCGAGUGGCGAACGGGUGAGUAAUGUAUCGGAACGUGCCCAGUCGCGGGGGAUAACGUAGGGAAAAUUACGCUAAUACCGCAUACGAUCUAUGGAUGAAAGCGGGGGAUCGCAAGACCUCGCGCUCUUGGAGCGGCCGUGAUCAGAUUAGGUAGUUGGUGGGGUAAAGGCCCACCAAGCCAACGAUCUGUAGCUGGUCUGAGAGGACGACCAGGCACACUGGAACUGAGACACGGUCCAGACUCCUACUGGAGGCAGCAGUGGGGAAUUUUGGACAAUGGCGAAAGCCUGAUCCAGCCAUUCCGCGUGCAGGAUGAAGGCCCUCGGGUUGUAAACUGCUUUUGUACAGAACGAAAAGGUUUCUACUAAUACUAGGAGCUCAUGACGGUACUGUAAGAAUAAGCACCGGCUAACUACGUGCCAGCCGCCGCGGUAA
This 499-nucleotide ribosomal RNA is filed under the name uncultured bacterium. RNAcentral's name for it is "partial 16S ribosomal RNA". It matches the Rfam family "Bacterial small subunit ribosomal RNA", at positions 30 to 523 of the family's 1533-position model. The record is from RNAcentral.